CAGCCGCCGCGGGAACACCAGCACCUCGAGUGGUCAGGAGGUUUAUUGGGCCUAAGGCAUCCGUAGCCGGUUGCAUAAGUUUUCGGUUAAAUCUAUGCGCUUAACGUAUAGGCCGCCGAAAAUACUGUGCAGCUAGGGAGUGGGAGAGGUACACGGUACUCGAUAGGAAGGGGUAAAAUCCUUUGAUCUAUUGAUGACCACCUGUGGCGAAGGCGGUGUACCAGAACACGUUCGACGGUGAGGGAUGAAAGCUGGGGGCGCGAACGGGAUUAGAUACCCCUGUAGUCCCUGUCUCUUAUAC
This 301-nucleotide ribosomal RNA is filed under the name uncultured bacterium. Its description in RNAcentral is "partial 16S ribosomal RNA". It matches the Rfam family "Archaeal small subunit ribosomal RNA", at positions 459 to 760 of the family's 1478-position model. The record is from RNAcentral.